Molecule: ribosomal RNA, 223 nt
Filed under: uncultured bacterium
Lineage: Bacteria
Description: partial 16S ribosomal RNA
Rfam family: Bacterial small subunit ribosomal RNA
Source: RNAcentral
ACGCUCGACACCUACGGUAGGCAGCAGUAGGGAAUCUUCCACAAUGGACGCAAGUCUGAUGGAGCAACGCCGCGUGAGUGAAGAAGGUCUUCGGAUCGUAAAACUCUGUUGUUAGAGAAGAACACGAGUGAGAGUAACUGUUCAUUCGAUGACGGUAUCUAACCAGCAAGUCACGGCUAACUACGUGCCAGGAGCCGCGGUAAUCUGAGCGGGCUGGCAAGGC